MicroRNA precursor from Podiceps cristatus (great crested grebe), 67 nucleotides. It matches the Rfam family "mir-34 microRNA precursor family". Rfam says of the family: Human mir-34a was discovered computationally and later experimentally verified. The mature sequence is excised from the 5' arm of the hairpin. The record is from Rfam. Lineage: Eukaryota; Metazoa; Chordata; Aves; Podicipediformes; Podicipedidae.
AGUUACUAGGCAGUGUAGUUAGCUGAUUGCCAGAACUAACAAUUACUAGCCACACAGCCAGAUAAAA